This 274-nucleotide ribosomal RNA is filed under the name uncultured bacterium. RNAcentral describes it as "partial 16S ribosomal RNA". It matches the Rfam family "Bacterial small subunit ribosomal RNA", at positions 523 to 796 of the family's 1533-position model. The record is from RNAcentral.
AUACGGAGGGGGUUAGCGUUGUUCGGAAUUACUGGGCGUAAAGCGCACGUAGGCGGAUUGAUUAGUUAGAGGUGAAAUCCCGGGGCUCAACCCUGGAACUGCCUUUAAUACUGUCAGUCUAGAGAUCGAGAGAGGUGAGUGGAAUUCCUAGUGUAGAGGUGAAAUUCGUAGAUAUUAGGAGGAACACCAGUGGCGAAGGCGGCUCACUGGCUCGAUACUGACGCUGAGGUGCGAAAGCGUGGGGAGCAAACAGGAUUAGAAACCCCGGUAGUCC